CUGAAUUGCUCCCUUCUGGACUCCUUGGUGUCCCUUGGGUUCUCAGUAGUCUCCCAAAGGCCUCUCUAUGGGUCCAACUGGAAAAAAAAGAACAGGAACCUGCUUGGGAAAAUGACGUGUGGAACUUCAGGCAGAAGACAUCAGAAAAACUCUUCCUAAGUACAAAUGAAAUAUUUGCUUAA
Long non-coding RNA from Coturnix japonica (Japanese quail), 182 nucleotides. RefSeq lists it as uncharacterized. Lineage: Eukaryota; Metazoa; Chordata; Aves; Galliformes; Phasianidae. The record is from RefSeq and is a predicted model, not a curated record.